GAUGAACGCUGGCGGCGUGCCUAAUACAUGCAAGUCGAGCGAACAGACGAGGAGCUUGCUCCUCUGACGUUAGCGGCGGACGGGUGAGUAACACGUGGAUAACCUACCUAUAAGACUGGGAUAACUUCGGGAAACCGGAGCUAAUACCGGAUAAUAUAUUGAACCGCAUGGUUCAAUAGUGAAAGACGGUUUUGCUGUCACUUAUAGAUGGAUCCGCGCCGCAUUAGCUAGUUGGUAAGGUAACGGCUUACCAAGGCAACGAUGCGUAGCCGACCUGAGAGGUGGAUCGGCAACCUGGAACUUGAGAACCGUCCAGACUCCUACGGGAGGCAGCAGUAGGGAAUCUUCCGCAAUGGGCGAAAGCCUGACGGAGCAACGCCGCGUGAGUGAUGAAGGUCUUCGGAUCGUAAAACUCUGUUAUUAGGGAAGAACAAAUGUGUAAGUAACUAUGCACGUCUUGACGGUACCUAAUCAGAAAGCCACGGCUAACUACGUG
RNAcentral lists this ribosomal RNA (496 nucleotides) under uncultured bacterium. RNAcentral describes it as "partial 16S ribosomal RNA". It matches the Rfam family "Bacterial small subunit ribosomal RNA", at positions 28 to 507 of the family's 1533-position model. The record is from RNAcentral.